AGAACAAAGGACAGAAUCUUGAAGAACAUUGUCUUUAGAACCUUGUGGUCAAUGGGCCAGCAGCGCUGGUUGUCACCAGGAGGUUUGUUGGAAAGGUGGAAUCUCAGACCUGCUGAAUCGGGUCUUUGAUUUAACAAGAACCCCAAGUGAUUGUAUCACCUUGAAGUUUAAGAAGCUCAGACCUGGACGAGAAAAGCCAACAAAUAAAGAAGGGAUUUCAUCUAGAUAGAGAAGUCAACAAAGAAAGAGAGGAGGAAGUGGGAGGAGAACCAGAGUAACACAGAAUCACCAAAGCAAGAUACACUGGAGUUUCACAAAGACAGGGCCAGGAAGGAGUGUUGAUCACAACAUCCAAAACCACGGAGGUGAAAGAAGCACCAGGAAAGAAGAGCUUUUUGAAUCCUGGAACUCUGUGGGGAGUGAGGGAGACAGAAUUCUAAAUAAUCCAAUCAGUUGGGAGAGGCUCCACGGCAAACCGUGCUAUGGUGUUGGCGCAACAGGU
Long non-coding RNA from Bubalus bubalis (water buffalo), 502 nucleotides. RefSeq lists it as uncharacterized. The record is from RefSeq and is a predicted model, not a curated record. The transcript has 3 exons. Lineage: Eukaryota; Metazoa; Chordata; Mammalia; Artiodactyla; Bovidae.